RNAcentral lists this small RNA (495 nucleotides) under Pan troglodytes (chimpanzee). RNAcentral's name for it is "retained intron". Lineage: Eukaryota; Metazoa; Chordata; Mammalia; Primates; Hominidae. The record is from RNAcentral.
GCAAACGCUAAAAUUAGGAUGGUAAUGAGUGGCUCUGGAUUGCAAGUGGUACUACUUUAGAACAGAAGUAGUAGGUUACAAAAUUAUUAUCAUGCUGGUUUACUUUCUCGUAUCUUCCGUACCCUAGAUACCCUUUGUUUCCACCAAAAUUUUGGCAUCUUUUUAAAGGCUAAAUAGUAGAGAAUGCUCUCUGUUGUGAUGGUUUCUGAAAAUGCAAAGUUACACUACCUUAUUUUGGAUCUUGAUUUCAUGGGUUCUCUCCUGUGUUUUAGAUUGUUCUUUGUUAUAGAGUAUGUAAAUGGAGGAGACCUAAUGUUUCAUAUGCAGCGACAAAGAAAACUUCCUGAAGAACAUGCCAGAUUUUACUCUGCAGAAAUCAGUCUAGCAUUAAAUUAUCUUCAUGAGCGAGGGAUAAUUUAUAGAGAUUUGAAACUGGACAAUGUAUUACUGGACUCUGAAGGCCACAUUAAACUCACUGACUACGGCAUGUGUAAG